Molecule: ribosomal RNA, 483 nt
Filed under: uncultured Sulfurihydrogenibium sp.
Lineage: Bacteria; Pseudomonadati; Aquificota; Aquificia; Aquificales; Hydrogenothermaceae
Description: bacterial SSU rRNA
Rfam family: Bacterial small subunit ribosomal RNA
Source: RNAcentral
CGCGAACGUUGGCGGCGUGCCUAACACAUGCAAGUCGUGGGGCAGCAGGCUACUGUCUUUUGGCAGUAGUGCUGGCGACCGGCAAACGGGUGAGUAACACGUAGCUUACCUACCCAUAGGUUGGGGAUAACAUCCCGAAAGGGGUGCUAAUACCCAAUAAUGAGGAGACUCCAAAGCCCUUAUGGGCGCCUAUGGAUGGGGCUGCGUCCCAUCAGCUAGUUGGUGAGGUAAUGGCUCACCAAGGCUACGACGGGUAACCGGUCUGAGAGGAUGACCGGUCACAGCGGGACUGAGACACGGCCCGCACCCCUACGGGGGGCAGCAGUGGGGAAUAUUGGGCAAUGGCCGAAAGGCUGACCCAGCAACGCCGCGUGGUGGAUGAAGCCCUUCGGGGUGUAAACACCUUUUCUGGGGGAAGAUAAUGACGGUACCCCAGGAAUAAGGGACGGCUAACUACGUGCCAGCAGCCGCGGUAAUACGUAG